RNAcentral lists this unclassified non-coding RNA (194 nucleotides) under uncultured fungus. RNAcentral describes it as "sequence contains ITS1". Lineage: Eukaryota; Fungi. The record is from RNAcentral.
GUAUUGUCAUUACAAUCUAGUUCUACGACAUGUAUAUAUGCGUGUAUGCGAUCGUAGACCGGGUUUCCCCGACCUACCAGAGAUGCACGGUGGGUGAAUGAGGUCAAUCCGACGCGUGCACAUGCCGUCGAGACGGCCAGCAUCAGCGUCGGAGGUGCUCGACAAUGAUCCUUCCGCAGGUUCACCUACGGAAA